UACGUAGGGUGCAAGCGUUGUCCGGAAUUAUUGGGCGUAAAGAGCUCGUAGGCGGUUUGUCGCGUCGACCGUGAAAACCCGUGGCUCAACUACGGGCUGGCGGUCGAUACGGGCAGGCUGGAGUUCGGUAGGGGAGACUGGAAUUCCUGGUGUAGCGGUGAAAUGCGCAGAUAUCAGGAGGAACACCGGUGGCGAAGGCGGUUCUCUGGGCAUUACCUGACGCUGAGGAGCGAAAGUGUGGGGAGCGAACAGG
This 253-nucleotide ribosomal RNA is filed under the name uncultured bacterium. RNAcentral's name for it is "partial 16S ribosomal RNA". It matches the Rfam family "Bacterial small subunit ribosomal RNA", at positions 524 to 776 of the family's 1533-position model. The record is from RNAcentral.